RNAcentral lists this transfer RNA (87 nucleotides) under Gammaproteobacteria bacterium. RNAcentral's name for it is "tRNA-Leu". It matches the Rfam family "tRNA". From Rfam's summary of the family: Transfer RNA (tRNA) molecules are approximately 80 nucleotides in length. Lineage: Bacteria; Pseudomonadati; Pseudomonadota; Gammaproteobacteria. The record is from RNAcentral.
GCCGGGGUGGCGGAACUGGUAGACGCGCCGGACUCAAAAUCCGGUUCUGGCAACAGAGUGUGGGUUCGAUUCCCACCCUCGGCACCA